Molecule: long non-coding RNA, 1684 nt
Organism: Aegilops tauschii subsp. strangulata
Lineage: Eukaryota; Viridiplantae; Streptophyta; Magnoliopsida; Poales; Poaceae
Source: RefSeq, a predicted model, not a curated record
CGCUUGAUUUUUUUACGGUUCGUACAUUCACGCUCUAAAAGGCCGGCUGUAUAUUGUUUAGAGACCAUGCAAAGCCCAUUGGGAGACGAAAAAAGUAGCAUGUGUACCUUACACACCAUUCAGGUUUGCAGAAAGAAAAAAUGCAUCGCUCAAUCCCGUCCUAAUCUCGCCUACCACCACCGCCCCAUCCAUCUAGUUCCCCGUGCAGCCACGGCCGCCGCCCCAUCCAUCCAGUCUCCCUGAUCGAUGAUCUACAAGGAGCAGCCGCCAGGCACGCUCCUCCGGCCAGGCGCCCCUUCCAGCAGCCACCGCCGGCGGUCCUUCUACGAGCCGCCACCACGUCCGACGCUCUCUCAGACAGACAUCUCGACCGAUGCUUCCCCUGGCCAGCCGCCACAGGUCACUUGCUGCUCGGAUUGGAUUCAUUGCUUCCUACGUCUCCUGCAGCUCAUGUUGAUACACAACUACUUAUCUCUGAAUUUAAUUAUCCAGACUUGAUGACCGAAUGUACCUACAUUUGUUCUGUGCAUAUUACAUAGCAUAUCAAUUCCUUACCUUGGAUUAUUCAUAUUGAUUCCUCUAGAUACAACUCACUUGCUUAUGCCUGCUGAAAUAUUUUUGUAUGUGUUAAGCCACUUAAUUUGUUUCGCAUUGUUUACCUCUAUUUUUAAGGUUCACGAAGCUACUGACCCCGAAAGAGUGAUGCUGCGAAUGAGAUUCUGAAAGAUUGCUCUCCGGAUCAAAAGGUGCUCCACGUUAUGCUUCACAGAUAUCUUCCUGCUCGGACUGGAUUCAUUGCUUCAUAGGUCUCUUGCAGCUCGCGUUGUAUUUCAUGAAAGGAAUUGAUAUGCAGAUAUAAAAUGGAGUCUAAUGAUAGAUCAUCCGAUUCAUCAAGUGAAACAGACAAUGAAAUGGAAAAUCAUCCAGAAUGUCGCUAUAUGACAGCAAAUGAGGUUGUUUGGCGCUUGCCAAAGAGAAUGAAGAUUGAUUCAGUAUCCAAGCUCCCCAUUAGUUAUGUCAUAAAGAAAAGCUUCGCAGUUCACAAUGCACAAAUGUUACCCUCUACAAAGCCAUCUCCAUGCAAAGAAAUGAUGACCCAUCCAUCUUCAAAAAAUAUCGAGAGUGCGAUGACCCAUACACCAGAGGACGCAAACAAUACUACAUCUCCCUCUUGCCAACCCGCAGCUACUAUCAUUGAGAACAAACAAAAUAGAAGAUGAAACCACCAACAAAGAGAUUAUUGUGCAAUCAGGACAUGCGAGGGAAACAUGACAUUGUAAAGAUGCAUGCAAUCACAAGAAUAAUGGUGCACAAGAAUACUGUUGUUUUUUCACAACAUGAACGGCAUAGAAGAGAAGCUUGCAAGCACCUCAAUUAAAUUGUAAUCCCGACAAACUUACGUUAUUACUAUUUCCUGAUGACCCUAUACAUGUUGUGAGAUAUGGACUCACCUAUGCAAUUAUUAAGUCAGAAUUGUGAAGUUUAUGGGUGACAUGCACUUUACUGAGCUGAUUAUCAGUAUUUUACUUCAAUUGUUAUCAAAUCUAUUCCCUCCGUCCCGAAAUAAGUGCAUCAACUUUGUACUAGCUUUAGUACAAAGUUGUACUAAGCUUGAGACACUUAUUUUGGGAAGGAGGGAAUACUACCUUCAUAGUUCAGUAAAUAAACAAAAAUAUAUAUUUCC